AUGGCCGGCCAUACUAAUACUUGCAUUCUACCGCGCAAAGAAGGGUUUUUGCUCCCGCAAUAUUACCGGCGGAAGAGGGAGAACCUUAAGCGUAACCGGCCUGUAAGACUGGUAUAACCCCAGGAAACCGGAGCUAAUACCGGAAGCGCCUUGAUGAUAUACAAGGUAACUAGUAGACUGGAGUUCGCACUGAUUAGCCGAUAAACUGACGCAAGUCAAGUAUGACAAGACCGUUCGCAUCAUUCAGAUGACCCGCGGGCAUUAGCUAAUGCGAGUAAACGGAACGACCUAAGAGAAAACGAUGCGUAAACCCACUCAGAGGGGAUCCCUCCACAUCGGGACUGAGAACACGACACGACUCCUACGGGAGGCAGCAGUAGGGAAUCUUCCGCAAUGGACGAAAGUCUGACGGAGCAACGCCGCGUGAGUGAUGAAAGUUUUCCGAUCGUAAACCUCUGUUGUUAGCGAAGAACAAGUGCAAGAGUAACUGCUUGCACCUUGACGGUACCUAACCAGAAAGCCACGGCUAACUACGUGCCAGCAGCCGCGGUAAUACAUAGGUGGCAAAGCGUUGUCCGGAAUUAUUGGGCGUAAAGGGCUCGCAGGCGGUUUCUUAAGUCUGAUGUGAAAGCCCCCGGCUCAACCGGGGAGGGUCAUUGGAAACUGGGAAACUUGAGUGCAGAAGAGGAGAGUGGAAUUCCACGUGUAGCGGUGAAAUGCGUAGAGAUGUGGAGGAACACCAGUGGCGAAGGCGACUCUCUGGUCUGUAACUGACGCUGAGGAGCGAAAGCGUGGGGAGCGAACAGGAUUAGAUACCCUGGUAGUCCACGCCGUAAACGAUGAGUGCUAAGUGUUAGGGGGUUUCCGCCCCUUAGUGCUGCAGCUAACGCAUUAAGCACUCCGCCUGGGGGAGUACGGUCGCAAGACUGAAACUCAAAGGAAUUGACGGGGGCCCGCACAUUAGCGGUGGUAGCAUGUGGUUUAAUUCGAAGCAACAAGAAGAACCUUAACAGGUCAUGACAUCAUCUAGGACAACCCUAGAGAUAGGGAUGUUCCCUUCGGGGACAGAAGUGACAGAUGGUGCAGUGGUGAACAUAGAUGUUGAUCGCUGAGUAGGAUUUUUAAAUCAAGGAAGGAGAUCUCGGACCGAUGCAGCUAGGCAAUGAGCAUCGGGUUGCACCAACAGGACAUCCUGUUUUCAAAAGGCAGAAACCACAUGUUAUUCACGUCGUCUCUGGCAUUUGGACCCCAUGUUUGCAGGGCCGUCAAGGGCAACAAAAAAAAGCUUAAAAGCAAUAGGGUUACGCGGAUGCAUAAAUAACCGAUUCCAAUUCUAUCACAGCUGCAAUAUGAAGUAACGCAGGAUUGAAGAAAAGCUCUCAACAGAGCGUAGCUAUG
RNAcentral lists this ribosomal RNA (1398 nucleotides) under Bacillus sp. MBF8. Its description in RNAcentral is "partial 16S ribosomal RNA". It matches the Rfam family "Bacterial small subunit ribosomal RNA", at positions 36 to 1357 of the family's 1533-position model. Lineage: Bacteria; Bacillati; Bacillota; Bacilli; Caryophanales; Bacillaceae. The record is from RNAcentral.